RNAcentral lists this ribosomal RNA (459 nucleotides) under uncultured bacterium. Its description in RNAcentral is "partial 16S ribosomal RNA". It matches the Rfam family "Bacterial small subunit ribosomal RNA", at positions 338 to 795 of the family's 1533-position model. The record is from RNAcentral.
CCUACGGGGGGCAGCAGUGAGGAAUAUUGGUCAAUGGGCGUAAGCCUGAACCAGCCAAGUCGCGUGAGGGAUGAAGGUUCUAUGGAUCGUAAACCUCUUUUAUAAGGGAAUAAAGUGCGGGACGUGUCCCGUUUUGUAUGUACCUUAUGAAUAAGGAUCGGCUAACUCCGUGCCAGCAGCCGCGGUAAUACGGAGGAUGCGAGCGUUAUCCGGAUUUAUUGGGUUUAAAGGGUGCGUAGGCGGACAGUCAAGUGAGCGGUAAAAUUGAGGUGCUAAACGCCGUACAGCCGUUGAAACUGGCUGUCUUGAGUGGGCGAGAAGUAUGCGGAAUGCGUGGUGUAGCGGUGAAAUGCAUAGAUAUCACGCAGAACUCCGAUUGCGAAGGCAGCAUACCGGCGCCCUACUGACGCUGAGGCACGAAAGCGUGGGUAUCGAACAGGAUUAGAUACCCGAGUAGUC